RNAcentral lists this ribosomal RNA (460 nucleotides) under uncultured bacterium. RNAcentral's name for it is "partial 16S ribosomal RNA". It matches the Rfam family "Bacterial small subunit ribosomal RNA", at positions 338 to 795 of the family's 1533-position model. The record is from RNAcentral.
CCUACGGGUGGCAGCAGUGAGGAAUAUUGGUCAAUGGACGAGAGUCUGAACCAGCCAAGUAGCGUGAAGGAUGACUGCCCUAUGGGUUGUAAACUUCUUUUAUAAAGGAAUAAAACGAGGCACGUGUGCCUUUUUGUAUGUAAUUUAUGAAUAAGGAUCGGCUAACUUCGUGCCAGCAGCCGCGGUAAUACGGAGGAUCCGAGCGUUAUCCGGAUUUAUUGGGUUUAAAGGGAGAGUAGAUGGGUUGUUAAGUCAGUUGUGAAAGUUUGCGGCUCAACCGUAAAAUUGCAAUUGAUACUGGCAGUCUUGAGUACAGUUGAGGUAGGCGGAAUUCGUGGUGUAGCGGUGAAAUGCUUAGAUAUCACGAAGAACCCCGAUUGCGAAGGCAGCUUACUAAACUGUGACUGACAUUGAGGCUCGAAAGUGUGGGUAUCAAACAGGAUUAGAUACCCCUGUAGUC